GGACCCGCACAAGUAGUGGAGCAUGUGGUUUAAUUCGAAGAUACGCGCAGAACCUUACCAACACUUGACAUGUUCGUCGCGACUUUAAGAGAUUAGAGUUUUCGGUUCGGCCGGACGAAACACAGGUGCUGCAUGGCUGUCGUCAGCUCGUGUCGUGAGAUGUUGGGUUAAGUCCCGCAACGAGCGCAACCCUCACUUUUAGUUGCCAUCAUUAAGUUGGGCACUCUGAAAGAACUGCCAGUGAUAAGCUGGAGGAAGGUGGGGAUGACGUCAAGUCCUCAUGGCCCUUACGUGUUGGGCUACACACGUGCUACAAUGGUAUCUACAACAGGAAGCAAUGAUGAAAAUCGGAGCCAAUCGCCAAAUUACACCUCAGUACGGAUUGGUGUCUGCAACUCGACUCCAUGAAGCCGGAAUCACUAGUAA
Molecule: ribosomal RNA, 426 nt
Filed under: uncultured bacterium
Lineage: Bacteria
Description: bacterial SSU rRNA
Rfam family: Bacterial small subunit ribosomal RNA
Source: RNAcentral